GUAGCAAGAGAAGAAAGGGGAAAACCCUUAAGCUUAACGAAUUCAGCAAAUUGAAGAUGAUUUAAGGACAAAUUCGAAUGCAUGUCUUUAAUUUCUCAAUCAUCUAAGGGCGAAGAAAGAAGAAGGUACAAGUCAAUCCAAGGCACUAGGAACACGAGAUCACGGUAAAGCCGUACUUUAAACGAGCGCUACACUCGGAACGAACACACUCCAUGAUGCCCUUUACGCGCUUCCGGUUUACGUUUAGUGUCAAUGGGUCAAACUACUUUCGAUUGUAAAUGUUGUUUUAAAUGUUUAUGUCUUUUAUAAGUAAGUUUAAAGU
This 322-nucleotide long non-coding RNA is filed under the name Helianthus annuus (common sunflower). Its description in RNAcentral is "sRNA HanXRQr2_Chr09g0409671". Lineage: Eukaryota; Viridiplantae; Streptophyta; Magnoliopsida; Asterales; Asteraceae. The record is from RNAcentral.